UACGUAGGGUGCAAACGUUGUUCGGAAUUAUUGGGCGUAAAGCGCGUGUAGGUGGCCAAGCAAGUUGAUUGUGAAAGCCCUCGGCUUAACCGAGGAAGUGCAUUCAAAACUACUCGGCUAGAGGAUGGUAGAGGAAGGUGGAAUUCCUAGUGUAGAGGUGAAAUUCGUAGAUAUUAGGAGGAAUACCUGUGGCGAAGGCGGCCUUCUGGGCCAUUCCUGACACUGAGACGCGAAAGCGUGGGUAGCAAACAGG
This 253-nucleotide ribosomal RNA is filed under the name uncultured bacterium. Its description in RNAcentral is "partial 16S ribosomal RNA". It matches the Rfam family "Bacterial small subunit ribosomal RNA", at positions 524 to 776 of the family's 1533-position model. The record is from RNAcentral.